This 361-nucleotide ribosomal RNA is filed under the name uncultured bacterium. Its description in RNAcentral is "bacterial SSU rRNA". It matches the Rfam family "Bacterial small subunit ribosomal RNA", at positions 150 to 509 of the family's 1533-position model. The record is from RNAcentral.
GACGAAGUACGUCCGACUAGUAGUACUACGACGUCUUUUAAAAAAGGGCGGCGUAAGCUGUCGCUAUGGGAUGGCCCCGCGGUGCAUUAGCUAGUUGGUAAGGUAAAGGCUUACCAAGGCAUGAUGCAUAGCCGAGUUGAGAGACUGAUCGGCCACAUUGGGACUGAGACACGGCCCAAACUCCUACGGGAGGCAGCAGUAGGGAAUCUUCCACAAUGGACGCAAGUCUGAUGGAGCAACGCCGCGUGAGUGAAGAAGGUUUUCGGAUCGUAAAGCUCUGUUGUUGGUGAAGAAGGAUAGAGGUAGUAACUGGCCUUUAUUUGACGGUAAUCAACCAGAAAGUCACGGCUAACUACGUGCC